This 88-nucleotide transfer RNA is filed under the name Bacteroidota bacterium. RNAcentral's name for it is "tRNA-Ser". It matches the Rfam family "tRNA". From Rfam's summary of the family: Transfer RNA (tRNA) molecules are approximately 80 nucleotides in length. Their secondary structure includes four short double-helical elements and three loops (D, anti-codon, and T loops). Further hydrogen bonds mediate the characteristic L-shaped molecular structure. tRNAs have two regions of fundamental functional importance: the anti-codon, which is responsible for specific mRNA codon recognition, and the 3' end, to which the tRNAs corresponding amino acid is attached (by aminoacyl-tRNA synthetases). tRNAs cope with the degeneracy of the genetic code in two manners: having more than one tRNA (with a specific anti-codon) for a particular amino acid; and 'wobble' base-pairing, i.e. permitting non-standard base-pairing at the 3rd anti-codon position. Lineage: Bacteria; Pseudomonadati; Bacteroidota. The record is from RNAcentral.
GGAAAGAUGGGUGAGUGGCUGAAACCAACAGUUUGCUAAACUGUCGUACUGGAUUACGGUACCGGGGGUUCGAAUCCCCCUCUUUCCG